Rhagoletis zephyria (snowberry fruit fly) is the source of this 435-nucleotide long non-coding RNA. RefSeq lists it as uncharacterized. Lineage: Eukaryota; Metazoa; Arthropoda; Insecta; Diptera; Tephritidae. The record is from RefSeq and is a predicted model, not a curated record.
GUUGAGAGCGAAUGAUUACAUGCUGCUACCUGCAACUCAAAUGUUUACUUCUGAUUUUUGUUACCUAUUCUUAUACUGCUACAGACAUAUAUAUGUUUGUUAAAUUCUUACUUGAAGCGUUGUAAAGAAGUAGCAGUUCCAUGCGGCAACAAAUACUUAUGUAUAUUGGUAGAGAUAGAAUGCCAAUAAAAGUUCUGUAAAAAGGAAACUUCUAAUUAAUGAAUGCUAUGAAAUAAGUUGGUAAAAUAAAUCAGUUGGAAUCAAAGAUUUGUCCAAGGAACUUCACAUAAGGUACAUUUCGCAACUAUAGCGCAUCAGUUAAGCUGGAACUCCAUAGGAAAGCGGGAUCCGUUGACAUGCGUUAACGUGCGUAAAAACAGCAAAUCCACAGUGUACGCUUAAACUGAAGUCAGGUAAAACCAUGAUAAAAACAUU